GACAGAGGUCUCAAGCGUUAGGCGGAAUCACUGGGCUUAAAGCGUGUGUAGGCGGAUCGUUAAGUGCCUUGUGAAAUCCCACAGCUCAACUGUGGAACUGCUUGGCAUACUGGCGGUCUUGAGCCAUCUAGGGGUCGCUGGAACAAACGGUGGAGCGGUGAAAUGCGUAGAUAUCGUUUGGAACGCCAAUGGUGAAAACAGGCGACUGGGGAUGUGCUGACGCUGAGACACGAAAGCGUGGGGAGCGAACAGG
RNAcentral lists this ribosomal RNA (253 nucleotides) under uncultured bacterium. RNAcentral describes it as "partial 16S ribosomal RNA". It matches the Rfam family "Bacterial small subunit ribosomal RNA", at positions 524 to 776 of the family's 1533-position model. The record is from RNAcentral.